This 436-nucleotide long non-coding RNA is filed under the name Homo sapiens (human). Its description in RNAcentral is "HSALNT0278454". The record is from RNAcentral. Lineage: Eukaryota; Metazoa; Chordata; Mammalia; Primates; Hominidae.
GGGGUUUCACCAUGUUGCCCAGGCUGGUCUCGAACUCCUGACCUCAAGUGAUCCGCCUGCCUCGGCCUCCCACUGUGCUGGGAUUACAGGGGUGAGCCACCACCCAGCCCAGUAUUGUCCGUCUUGUAGAGUAUUUGCAUUCUAAUUCUCUUUGCUGUUCGUCUUUCAUGAAGAGAUCCUGGCAUAGCUAUGGCCAAAUGAAGCAGCAUUGUGUUUAUUUAGUUCAUUUACUGUUUAAUAGGAGCUUGCUGAAAGCCAAAUCCCACCCUAAAGAGAAACCAGACAUGGCUACAUAGUCAUAUGAUGAAUCACAAGUGAGAAUACGCACAGAUCCUGUCCCUUGCCCCUGGAAGACAACACCUGUGGACUUUGCUUAGUGCCAAGCGAAAACAAGUGAAUGCUAUCUCUUUGACAUAUUCUUUCUGUAUAGGCCAGA